AAAUUGAAGAGUUUGAUCAUGGCUCAGAUUGAACGCUGGCGGCAGGCCUAACACAUGCAAGUCUAACACAUGCAAGUC
This 78-nucleotide ribosomal RNA is filed under the name Klebsiella pneumoniae. RNAcentral describes it as "partial 16S ribosomal RNA". It matches the Rfam family "Bacterial small subunit ribosomal RNA", at positions 1 to 78 of the family's 1533-position model. The record is from RNAcentral. Lineage: Bacteria; Pseudomonadati; Pseudomonadota; Gammaproteobacteria; Enterobacterales; Enterobacteriaceae.